This 278-nucleotide ribosomal RNA is filed under the name uncultured bacterium. RNAcentral's name for it is "partial 16S ribosomal RNA". It matches the Rfam family "Bacterial small subunit ribosomal RNA", at positions 524 to 795 of the family's 1533-position model. The record is from RNAcentral.
UACGAAGGGGGCUAGCGUUGUUCGGAAUACUGGCGUAAGGCGUGACGCAGCGGUGGAUGUAAGACAGGUGUGAAAUCCCCGGGCUUAACCUGGGAACUGCAUUUGUGACUGCAUCGCUGGAGUGCGGCAGAGGGGGAUGGAAUUCCGCGUGUAGCAGUGAAAUGCGUAGAUAUGCGGAGGAACACCGAUGGCGAAGGCAAUCCCCUGGGCCUGCACUGACGCUCAUGCACGAAAGCGUGGGGAGCGAAACAAGGAUUGAUGAAACCCGGACGGUAGUC